GACACUUCCGGUAUUACAUUGGCGGGAUAACACAAACGAGGUCCUUCUCGGAUAACGCGACGUGUUUGAUUCAAAGCCAAGCGGAUCUACGAUUUUCACACCCAAGAUGCAGCUCCACAUCACGCAGCACAGAGUGGGCAGCUUUUGAAUUCACGGCGGUCUGUUGGUCGCUCCAUUUUAAAUGAUGAAGAAUGAGGGGGUGCCAACAUGCCUAUGAGUACGAGACCGACGCGAAUACAAAGACACAUGGAAAGUUUA
Long non-coding RNA from Nematolebias whitei (Rio pearlfish), 258 nucleotides. RefSeq lists it as uncharacterized. The record is from RefSeq and is a predicted model, not a curated record. The transcript has 3 exons. NCBI's taxonomy places the organism in Eukaryota, Metazoa, Chordata, Actinopteri, Cyprinodontiformes, Rivulidae.